Molecule: small nuclear RNA, 108 nt
Organism: Callithrix jacchus (white-tufted-ear marmoset)
Lineage: Eukaryota; Metazoa; Chordata; Mammalia; Primates; Cebidae
Source: Ensembl
GUGCUCGCUUUGGCGGCACAUAUACUAAAAUUGGAACGAUAAUAGAGAAGAUUAUCAUGUUCCCUGUGCAAGGAUGACACACAAAUUCGUGAAGCGUUCUAUAUUUUU